CUGAAGUUGCCCAAAGCCAACGAAUCUUUCAGCAAAGAUUCCAGACCUUCCUCAAGGGCUCAGUCCAGCCCGUCACAGGCAUCGCAAGGCACUCCAUCCCGGCUUCCACUUCUGGCAUGUGACUCAGUCAGACUUCUCAGGCGCAGGGCUAAGAAGAGCAGGCAGAAAGAACCUGAGGAGAUGGAAGCAUCAACAUCUCAGGCUGAGGCCAGCCAGCCGCAGGAGUCCUCUGCCGACAGAGCUGGAUUGCUGCCACCGAUAAACGAAGAAACACAGUCUCCUCAGCGUCAGCCUCCAAACACCAAAGCCCCACCGCGCAGGAAGGGCGCACCCUACCCACGCUGAUGCGGGCAUGGGGCGCCCAUGAGCUCCAAGAGCUCCACUCGAGCUGGCUGCAAAACAGAUGCGUGAAUCCCAUCUGCAUCAUAUCUAAUCCUACACCAGGCUGACCAGGGCCCCAACCAACCUGGCCUUCAACACUGCCACGGACGUGGCGUCCACAAGCUCUCUGGGCAUCCACUUCCAGCAUCACACCAUCGUCUCUGGAAAGACCUUCUCCCUGACAUCCAAUCUUCAUUGUCCCUCCCUCUGUCAAUAAAGCCUUACCAUGGGCCUAUCCCAUAGAAAUCUCCACAAUGCCUGUGGCAGUGUCAUUGCAUCUUUGGACGCCAGCUCUGGUGCUGGCGGAGGGAGAAAGAAUUGUGAGAGGGCAUCAGAACAUCUCACGAUGCUUUCCUUGAUGCCAAAGGAAAUCCAGCGUCUCACUUGGCUCGGCUGUCUGAGCUUUUCUGCUGAAGGGGAAGACCAAAAAUGAAGUCAGCUUCAAAUUGGUGCGGCAGCUCAGAGCUCUCAGAGGAUACCAGGGAUCCUUGGGAGGCCCUUUCCAAGUGGAAGAUUGCGUCCUAUAAAAAAAAUCACAGAAUCAUUGAAUCGUAGAAAUGCAUAGAAUCGUACAAUAACCACAGUGACCAUCAAGUUUCACUUCCCACCCCCCGCCCCGCUAUGUGCAGUAUUGCCAGCCACUAGACCAAAAUGCCCUGUGCCACAUCCAGCCUGGCCUUGAAUGCCUCCAGGGAUGGGGCAUCCACAACCUCCUUGGGCAACCUGUUCCAGUGCCUCACCAGUCUCUUGGGGAAAAACUUCAUUCUCAGAUCCAACUUAAACCUCCCCUGUCUCCCCUGAAGACCACUCCUGCAUGUCCUAUCACAACCCACCCUUGGAAACAGCCAUUCCCCCUCCUGCUUAGACGCUCCCUUUAAGUACUGGAAGGCCACCAGGAGGUCUCCAUGGAGCCUUCUCUUCUCCAAGCUAAACCAUCCCAGUUCCCUCCACCUUUCCUCAUACGAGAGGUGCUCCAGCCCUCUGACCAUCUUAGUGGCCCUCCUCUGGACCCACUCCAAAAACUUCCCGUCUUGCGGAGAAGAGAGAAUAAAGGUAAGACAGACGCUCAGAAGGACAAGAGCAAAAGCAGAGAAGAACAGGCACAGGUAAGAAAGAAGAGCAGAAGAGGAGGAGAAGAAAAAGAGAGGAUGAAGGUAAGAAAAACAAGCGGGCAGGGAGAAGAGCUGAAGAAGGGAUGAGUGGGUGCAGGUAAGACAGAACAGCAGAAGUGGAGAGGAGCUGAAGAGGAGAAGUAUGAAAAGUAGAGCAAAAGUAGAGGAGGUGGAAAGAGAGGAAAGAGGCAAGAGAGAAGAGAGGAAGAGCAGAGAAAGAACAGAGCAGUAGAGAAGAGCGGACAGUGCUGUGAAAAGAAGAACAGUGCCACAGAGCAGGUGAAG
Molecule: long non-coding RNA, 1778 nt
Filed under: Gallus gallus (chicken)
Lineage: Eukaryota; Metazoa; Chordata; Aves; Galliformes; Phasianidae
Description: lncRNA (ENSGALG00010000563.1)
Source: RNAcentral